GUGGGGUAACGGCUCACCAAGGCAUCGACGGGUAGCUGGUCUGAGAGGACGAUCAGCCACACUGGAACUGAGACACGGUCCAGACUCCUACGGGAGGCAGCAGUGGGGAAUCUUGCACAAUGGGCGAAAGCCUGAUGCAGCGACGCCGCGUGGGGGAUGAAGGCCUUAGGGUCGUAAACCCCUUUCAGUAGGGACGAAAAUGACGGCACCUACAGAAGAAGCUCCGGCCAACUACGUGCCAGCAGCCGCGGUAAGACGUAGGGGGCGAGCGUUGUCCGGAAUUAUUGGGCGUAAAGAGCUCGUAGGCGGUUCCGUAAGUCGGAUGUGAAAACUCAGGGCUCAACCCUGAGACGCCAUCCGAUACUGCGGUGACUCGAAUCCAGUAGGGGAGUGUGGAAUUCCUGGUGUAGCGGUGAAAUGCGCAGAUAUCAGGAGGAACACCUAUGGCGAAGGCAGCACUCUGGGCUGGUAUUGACGCUGAGGAGCGAAAGCAUGGGUAGCAAACAGGAUUAGAUACCCUGGUAGUCCAUGCCGUAAACGGUGGGCACUAGGUGUGGGGACUUUCAACGGUUUCCGUGCCGAAGCUAACGCAUUAAGUG
RNAcentral lists this ribosomal RNA (599 nucleotides) under uncultured Actinomycetes bacterium. RNAcentral's name for it is "bacterial SSU rRNA". It matches the Rfam family "Bacterial small subunit ribosomal RNA", at positions 252 to 866 of the family's 1533-position model. The record is from RNAcentral. Lineage: Bacteria; Bacillati; Actinomycetota; Actinomycetes.